CAACAGCUAGAGUUUGAUCCUGGCUCAGGAUGAACGCUAGCGGCAGGCUUAACACAUGCAAGUCGAGGGGCAGCGCGUUGUAGCAAUACGAUGGCGGCGACCGGCGAAAGGGUGCGUAACGCGUGAGCAACCUGCCCGUAUCCGGGACAUAAGCGGUGGAAACGCCGUCUAAUUUCCCAUAACAACGAGGGCCGCAUGGUCCAUGUUUGAAAGAUGCGUCGGAUACGGAUGGGCUCGCGAGACAUUAGCUAGUCGGCGUGGUAACGGCACACCGAGGCGACGAUGUCUAGGGGUUCUGAGAGGAAGGUCCCCCACAUUGGGACUGAGAUACGGCCCAGACUCCUACGGGAGGCAGCAGUGGGGAAUAUUGGGCAAUGGGCGAAAGCCUGACCCAGCAACGCCGCGUGAAGGAAGAAGGUCUUCGGAUUGUAAACUUCUUUUAUGAGGGACGAAGGACGUGACGGUACCUCAUGAAUAAGCCACGGCUAACUACGUGCC
RNAcentral lists this ribosomal RNA (498 nucleotides) under uncultured organism. RNAcentral's name for it is "SSU rRNA". It matches the Rfam family "Bacterial small subunit ribosomal RNA", at positions 1 to 509 of the family's 1533-position model. The record is from RNAcentral.